GCUGGGCAUGGUGGCGCAUGCCUGUAAUCCCAGCUACUCGGGAGGCUGAGGCACAAGAAUGGCUUGAACCCGGGAGGCAGAGGUUGCAGUGAGCCAAGAUCGCGCCACUGCACUCCAGCCUGAGUAACAGAGUAAGACUCUGUCUCAA
Molecule: non-coding RNA, 148 nt
Filed under: Nomascus leucogenys (northern white-cheeked gibbon)
Lineage: Eukaryota; Metazoa; Chordata; Mammalia; Primates; Hylobatidae
Source: Rfam by way of RNAcentral